Molecule: non-coding RNA, 3456 nt
Organism: Triticum urartu
Lineage: Eukaryota; Viridiplantae; Streptophyta; Magnoliopsida; Poales; Poaceae
Source: RefSeq, a predicted model, not a curated record
GGGAGGAGAGAGGCCUGCCUAGCUAAUUAUGGCCGGGUCGGGGCGUACGAUGCUUUUCAGCUAGCCUCCUCAGGCUUGUACCAGAGCAAUCUCCUGCCCUGUAGCUCUCGAGUCUCAACUUCAGCACCCAGCACCCACCCCCUUCCUCUCUCUUGAGCUAGCUCUCUCUUGCUUCCAUGAUUUGCCAUGGUGUUAUAAAGCCCCUCCCCUGUCCCUCCUAGCUAGCCAUCUACUGCCCUACUAGCUCACAUAGCUGCCAUGCACAUGGAAACUCCAUCUGCACAGCUAGAAUAGGAAAGCAAUUCCAGUCAUCAUGGAUCGAUGCAAGUGAUUAGCUAGCUAGAGAUCCAAAUUAAGCUUUCAGGAAGCUAGUGGAGGAUUCCAAAGGGAUCGCAUUGAUCCAUCUCUCCGUAACCGGCGCUCAAGAUCGAUGGAUCAGUGCAAUCCCUCUGGAAUUCUCCGCUUGCCUCCGCCUCCGGCCGUCCAUCUCUUCCGUCCGACCUGGCCAUGCCAGGAGGUAAUUAAACAGAGAUGGAUCAUCCACAAGAAUCACAAGGUAGUCCAAGACCCAGGUGUGUGAAUGCAUACAACCAAAGCUAGCUAGGAAUGGCAAAAAAGAGACGGCCAAAUGAGGAAGACUUGUUUGUGACUGAAAAACUGCCAGGAUAUUAUUGGUGCUAAUUUCAGGCUUGAUUGUUUAGGCGUCAAGUGCAUGUUUUUGAUACCGUCAAAUAUAUUAGAAAUGUAACAUGCAAGUUAAAGGAUAACGACACUUCUCGAUUUUGCAUAAACUUUACUUGAAAUGAUAACGAUUGCUUUAUGGCAUAGUCUCUUCCAAUUUGUUCCUAGAUUUAUUUGUUAGUAGAUGAUCCGGGCCACUAGUUUGUAGUUUCAUUAAUAUGCAUGUACUCCCUUCGUUUCUUUUUAGUCUGCAUAUAAGGUUUGGUCAAAGUCAAGUUUUGUAAAGUUUGACUAACUUUAUAUUAAAAAAACAUAAAUAUUGACAAUAUGAAAUCAAUAUUCUCGGAUGCACCGCGAAAUGUAUUUUCAUACUAUAUAGUUUUAAUAUUGUACUUCCUCCGUUCCUAAAUACUUGUCUUUUUAAGCAUUUCAACAAAUGACUACAUACGGAGCAAAAUGAGUGAAUCUACAUUUUAAAAUAUGUCUACAUACAUCCGUAUGUAGUAGUUAUUUGAAAUGUCUAGAAAGACAAAUAUUUAGGAACGGAGGAAGUAGAUGUUAUAUAUAUUUUUAUAUAAAUUUGGUCAAACUUUGUGUAGUUUGACUUUGACCAAAUCUUAUAUGCGGAGUACAAAAAAACGGAGGGAGUAUCUUGUAUUCCGCCUUUUCCGAUUUCUUGGAACUUGAACUUGGUUAUGGCUUGUGCAUCUCAGUUAUGCAGAGGUCGGAUGUAAUGCUUAAAUUAUUGAAGCAAUAAAACACCCUUUAUCAAAAAAAUGCAUUUCCGAAGUGAGAAUUCUAGACAUAUGGUCAUAAAUGGUUGGCACCGGAAAUUAUGACAGCUUCCAUUCCUUUAUAUAAGGCACUACUUCGUAGGGCUAAUCUCACAGUGAAUACUGAAUAUGUUGUCAUCGGCAUGUAAAGAAAUUGAAUAUCGUUGUAACGUGCUGAUUCUUGAUCUGCGUGGCAAUUGUAUGUUAUGUUUUUGUUCUAUCUUUUAGUAUUUUGGUUGUGUGCAUUCUUGAGGUCUAAACAGUACUAUUGACUUCUUCCAGAAACCGAAUGUAUUUUAUACCGAACUCCCCACAUAACAUUUAUUUCUCUUUCUGAACCUAGCUAGAAAUCAAAGUUCUUUCCUCAACUUCUCUACACAUACAACUGUAACUAAGCAAAACAAAGCAAUAAAGGGUGGGUGCCAAAAAACCAUAGCAAGCGACCCAAAGCAAAUCCUGGCGACAUAUUUGUGCACAUGCUAAGAUAUCAUGUGUAUGUUUGGACAUCUCUUUUAGAAACAUCGAGCUGCCUUAACCAUCUAAGAUAGGUUCUCUAUUGAUGCAAUUAACUAUUUUGUUCAAUUAAAUUGCACUAAUGCUAUUAUGAACUACUUGGUUAAAAAGUUGUUGGGAUGGGAAGGGAUAAUUCACUUCCUUUUUACGGGCUGCCCAAUUGUUGGGAUGGGAAGGGUUACUUGUUUUCUUGAAUGUAAAUAUGGCGGACCAAAGGCCAACCUAAACUUUGCACAACAACACUUCAUUAACUUUAGGUAGAGUUAAUUUAGUCCUCAAUUUGGUGGGGACAUGUGGUAUUUUUGCAUUAAUUAGUUCAGAAAAACCUUGCAUGAAUUUUGAAUUGGAGCGGUAAUAGUUAGAAAUGGAUUAAUAUUUUUUAGUAAAGAUAAUUGCAUAAGCUUCUAUUGUAUUUACUUUUCUCUAUUGGUUCAUCACGGCUUCACCAACUAAUUCUAGACAAACAGAUUCAAAACAUGUAGCCUAAGUAUGCUUCCUUACAGUGUAUCAAAGGCACUACGGUAUUAUCGCAAAAAAUACUAUGAUAUUAGCAUGAGUGUUAAUUUUAGGCCCUCGUUUAACAUCAAAUGCUUGUUUGGAAUAAUGACAAAUACCCAAGAGGAUAUGAAAUAAAGGAUAGUGUAUCAUGAUACUAGCCAUAGUAGAGAGGAACUUACACUAGUAACAUGCACAUGACCCUAGGCUAUGUUACUACCUCCAUAGUGGGUAGUAACAUAAGUGUGAUGUCAUGCAAAACUUCAUUUAUUAGGUUAUGGACUCAUAUUGUUUUGGGAUAUGUGAUGUUACAGUGACAUAUCAUGUCACCACAAACCUCCCUUUCUUCAUUAAUAACUUGACACAUCAGCUCUUUUGCCUACGUGGCAUCUAUGUUACUAGUUAAGUUACUCCCACUAUGACUAGUUAAGAUUACUUAUACUGGAGAGUAUUAGUAUCAUGCAUAUGAUACUAGUGUAUGAUACUAUCUUCACAAUGCAUAAUAUCAUAGAGUGGUAUCACAGAUGAUUUUAUUUAUUGCCAUGCAAGACACAUAGUAGCAUAACAUUUAUUUAAUACAUUAUCUACCUAUGUUAUUCUAACCCUUUUUUUAAUAGUAUGCCACAUUAGCAUGUUUGCUAGUCCCAAAUGCAUGAUAUCGGCUAAGAUACCACCACUAUAACAAAUUAACGGAUAACUAAGCAUCUUGAUUUUGCAUAAACUUUAUCCAAAAGGAUAAUGAUUGCUUUGUUGCACAUUCUUAUGUUUCCUUGCUAAAUUUAUUAGGAGACGGCCAACUUGCUAGUAGUUUAAUUAAUGACUACACAUGCAUUUCUGGUUGAAAAAUCUUGAUAUCGCAUCAGUCGAAUCCUGAAAUUAUGACGGCACACAUGCAUUGUUCCCUUUGUACUACGAGAGAUGCUUCAGAAAUUCCGAUCACACAUUUAGGAUGCUGUCAAGUGUCAACAUCGAGGAAUGAAGUUGAAUUCCGCUA